CUGGCCUGUUUGAGAAAUUUGGUUGUUCCUCUCUAAUCCUGAUUGUUCAUAAAGUCAGAUAAACGGCUUAGUUUAAGCUUGGUGGAGUGGAACUUUACCAUGAGUGACUUCGUUUUUAUUUUUAGCCUGAUCUGUUGGAAUGUAAGUGCAGGAGCCUAGUAUAAAACAUCGGCCUCUUAUAUUUUUUAUUUAAUAAGAGGUACCCCUUGCCCUGGGGAAGCAGACAAUCGAACAAAUGAGUAAGUUAAUUGUAGAAAAAAAUGAUGUGGCUGAAACAAUCAGGGGCUUAGAUAAUGGACAGGAGAGAUGGAAACGUCACCUGUAGAUAAAGUCAUGGAAAGCAUGAUCGAAGCCAAAGAACAGCGAUUACAAAAGCUCGGAGAGGGAAAAGAAUAUGGAUCUCACUAUGUCACUAACUUGCCCAGACUGGGCUCAAACGCAGAGAAGUCUGAUAAUGUGAGAAAUCACGCCAUGAGGAGUCCUGGAUAGCCAGGGAAAAGACCAUGUGAAGAGAGUCUGUGGCCCAGCCUCCCCGCCGAGGACUUGUGUGCAGAAGCCAGCUUGGGUGGCUGUGCUCAGUCAGGACUUCCACAGACUGCACCCCCAGCGCCUCUGAUUGCAACUGCGUGAGCGCCGGUACAUGGGAACCAUUCAGCAAAGCCCCACUCAUCUUCACAGCUCUGAGAAAUAAUCAUAAACUGUGUUAAGUCGUUAAAUUCUGAAGUUAUUUGUUGCUGUGGUUGGGAUACAUGUUCCCCAGAGGUCAUGGGUUACAGGUCUAUCCCCAGCUUGGAACUACUGGGAGGCAGUGGAAACUGUAAGACCCAGGGCCUGGUGGGAGGUCAUUAGUCUUGUGGCUGUGGCCUUCAAGGGAAUUCAACGACAGUCCCUUCUUCUUCCUCCCUUUCACUUCCUGUCCAGUGCCACACACUCCCCACCACUGCCAUCUGCCAGCAGAGGCCUAAAAGUAACAGAUCCGCCUGAUUAUGGACUGGGACCAGAAUAAACAGC
Molecule: long non-coding RNA, 1011 nt
Organism: Heterocephalus glaber (naked mole-rat)
Lineage: Eukaryota; Metazoa; Chordata; Mammalia; Rodentia; Bathyergidae
Source: Ensembl